This is a long non-coding RNA of Carassius gibelio (silver crucian carp), 416 nucleotides long. RefSeq lists it as uncharacterized. The transcript has 3 exons. The record is from RefSeq and is a predicted model, not a curated record. NCBI's taxonomy places the organism in Eukaryota, Metazoa, Chordata, Actinopteri, Cypriniformes, Cyprinidae.
UAGAUUAGAAGAUUUACUGAAACUCUUCCCACAUACAAUGCAGUGAUACGGUUUCUCUCCAGUGUGAAUCCACUCAUGUGAUUUCAGGGAUCCUGACUGACUGAAUCUCUUGUCACAGUGUGAACACUUGUAAGGUUUCUCUCCAGUGUGAAUCCUCUCAUGUGAUUUCAGGGGUGCUGACUGACUGAAUCUCUUGUCACAGUGUGAACACUUGUAAGGUUUCUCUCCAGUGUGGAUCCUCUCAUGUGAUUUAAGGGGUGCUGACUGACUGAAUCUCUUGUCACAGUGUGAACACUUGUAAGGUUUCUCUCCAGUGUGGAUCCUCUCAUGUGAUUUCAGGGGUGCUGACUGACUGAAUCUCUUGUCACAGUGUGAACACUUGUAAGGUUUCUCUCCAGUGUGGAUCCUCUCAUGUG